UCAAACUUCUCGAUCCUUCCUCUGAAAAUUCUAUCUGUCAUCUAGAUUGAGAGAGGAUCAAGUGCGCGACUUGGCAAUAGCUAAAAGGAAUUGCAAGGUUAUUUUGUUAUCUUCCUCUUCUGUUGUUCGGUUCCUUCAACCUCCUCUUCUUCCUGGAGCUCGAACCAACUCUAUUCUAAUCUCCUUUGCUCAUCACCAAUUUAUCUGUUAAAUACUUGAACGGGAAAUUGAGGAUGGGGUCUAAGGCUUUUUGGUUCUCGCUUGCGAACCUGUGACCUUUUUGCAAGAAGAGAGCUUUUUAUGUAUACAUUGAAGGUAUUGAGUAUAAGUACUUGCAUGGGUAUAAAUUGGUAUUGUCAUGUUAGACGGUGAUUGGCACUUGAUCAUUAUUUAUUGCUUUUACUGGUGCCUACAUUGCCGUUGUCUUUUGUCAAAGACUGCAGAGAAGACUCAUUAUGCAUUAUGAAUGCAUCACAUUUUAUCGUUAUCUUUUGUCAAAGACUGCAGAGAAGGUUCAUUAUAGCAUUAUGAAUGCAUCACAUUUUAUCUGUAUCAAUGUAAAGAAUGUGUCUUCUUGCAACUAUGCAACAUCUGAGAAUGGAUAUUUUGUUUCUAUAUGGAUGUUGAUCAGUUAGUAUUAUUAUUUGAUUUGAUAGUUA
Molecule: non-coding RNA, 659 nt
Organism: Nicotiana tabacum (common tobacco)
Lineage: Eukaryota; Viridiplantae; Streptophyta; Magnoliopsida; Solanales; Solanaceae
Source: RefSeq, a predicted model, not a curated record